Aethalodelphis obliquidens (Pacific white-sided dolphin) is the source of this 1807-nucleotide long non-coding RNA. RefSeq lists it as uncharacterized. The record is from RefSeq and is a predicted model, not a curated record. The transcript has 8 exons. Lineage: Eukaryota; Metazoa; Chordata; Mammalia; Artiodactyla; Delphinidae.
CAGGACUGGGUUUGAAUUGCUUUUCAUCUGGAGUGGCAAUGAUUCAGCGACCCCCUUCUCAGCAGCAGGCAGUGACAGAGACAGGAGACGAAAAACACAGCGAAUGAAUCAGACAGCGACCUUCAGAGACCCGAGCCUGAGUGAGGACAGCUAUCAAAAGGAUAGACUCUUUGAGGAUGAAAUAUAUUGAAGUCUUCCAAUUCUGGUUGUCAGUUUCUAACCCUUCUUCAUCCUCCUGGCUACUCUCACCUACCCCAGAGGACAGAGCCCUGUAGAUGGCUCCAGAGAACUCUGGAAAGCAAGCAGCUUCCUCUUCAUGUCCGAACCUGCCACAGGUCUAACAUGGCAUUUAGAGAGAUGAGAGGCAGGCUGCCCACUCAGAAGUACCAUCUCACCCUUCAGGAGGAGCUCCCAAAUUAAGGAUCCCAAAGCUUCCAUACAAGGAGCUACAUAGAAAAGAAGGUGGCGCUGCAGAGGUGAUCUGGAUGCAGUAAGAAAUGCAGGAAGAUGCCCACAAAUAAAAAUUGACAACUGAGAAAACAGAAAUCUGGCUAUAUCAUCCAAGGGAUUCCACUGGACCCUGCUGCCUCUCAGAAUUCAGUGAAACUCAGGUUUUUGCAAGGAGUAGUAGAACGGUGUUACACCCUUCUAAAGGGAAAUGCAAUGACCACACGAUCUUCCAUUUUCAAGGUCUUUGGAGAACACUUUGUCUACCUCUGCUCACCAAAAAGCAAGAAAAUCACAACAGAUAUCAGCUUGAAUAAAGAGUCCAAAGUGGUUGGUCCUACCUGGCAGUAGGACUUCCACAAGGUCAUUCAGAGACUCAGACACCUUCCAGUCUGUGGUUCUGUCAUCCCCUGCGGCCCUGGAGUCCUCUGUUAGAUCCUCUGAUUUGAUCCAGAAAACAAGAAUGUGGAGUGUCACUUGGAAGAUUUGUACUGGCCAGACCUGAAGGUGGCAUCCGUCACUUCUGCUCUUAUCCUAACAGCCAGCACAUCUGGCCACACUCAACUGGCAAGAGAGGCUGGGAAAUACAGUCUACGUGUGCGGCCAGAAGACAAGAUAACUGAUCAUCCUGAAUCCACAAAGGCACAAGUUGAAAGAGAAGUUGGAACGUCAGAGGAGGCAAAGAAACUCCACAGCCCCUGCACGAGCUGAAGCUGGUUACAGUGGGACAUAAAUCUUAAGUUUCUGCAGGACAGGGCUGUCUAUUUAAAUGCUAAUGUGCAACCUGGCAUAUCCUAGGAAUUAAAGUGCUGAAGCAGGCAGCAGUACUGGAAAUUUCAGUGUUGUUGAAUAUUCAGUACCCCUGUGCUAAAGAGCUCAGGUGUACUUUUAAAUGUCAGAGAACAAAACACAGCUCUCACUAUGCUCUGCUCUGAACUCUUCGGCCACAUUCCAUUUUUUAAAGAAAGUAUGGGUCAAGUUUUGAAUUUUCAGAGAUUUUUAUUCAGUUGGUCUGACAAGCAAAACAAGAGGUCAUCGCCUGUGAUUUUUACACAGGGUAUUAAUUGAAAGGCAAAUUCAAAAGUUCUUGGUUAAAUUUUUUUUAAAGAUCUCUUAAAGUCUCAAUCAUUGUCAGCUGUGAGAACUGAAAAUUGUCGGGUAUUUAAGAUGAAUUUCAGGGUUUUGUCUAUUUUCUUACUCUGUAUUUAUGCAGCACAUUAAAGCCAUAUUAAUAUAAUAUCAGUGAGCCAGCAAUAGGCAGGCACUUGAGAGGUAGUAAUAACUGUUAUUAAAGUUAGUGCUUUGGGCUUCCCUGGUGGCGCAGUGGUUGAGAGUCCGCCUGCCGAUGCAGGGGACACAG